This 2527-nucleotide ribosomal RNA is filed under the name Schizosaccharomyces octosporus yFS286. RNAcentral's name for it is "eukaryotic LSU rRNA". It matches the Rfam family "Eukaryotic large subunit ribosomal RNA", at positions 854 to 3401 of the family's 3401-position model. The record is from RNAcentral. Lineage: Eukaryota; Fungi; Ascomycota; Schizosaccharomycetes; Schizosaccharomycetales; Schizosaccharomycetaceae.
AAAGGUUUGAGUAUCGUAGAGAUUCUGACGUGCAAAUCGAUACUCUGGUGGAGGCUCGUAGAGAUUCUGACGUGCAAACCAUCUAGUAAAUCGAUAUAGGGGCGAAAGACUAGGGGCAAAGAUCAGUUUUAUGAGGUAUUCCGAGGUAAAGCGAAUGAUUAGAGGAGCAGAAACUCUAUUCUCAAACUUAAAUAUGUAAAAUAUGUAAGACGCCCAUUGGACGUGGGCCAUCGCUUAAUUGGACGUGGGCCAUACGGUAAGCAGAACUGGCGAUGCGGGAUGAACCGAACGUGAGGUUAAGGUGCCGGAAUGUACGCUCAUCAGACACCAGCAAAGGUGUUAGUUCAUCUAGACAGCAGGACGGUGGCCAUGGAAGUCGGAAUCCGCUAAGGAGUGUGUAACAACUCACCUGCCGAAUGAACUAGCCCUGAAAAUGGAUGGCGCUUAAGCGUACUACCCAUACCUCACCGUCUGGGUUAUGUAAUAAUUGAGAAGCUCAGACGAGUAGGCGGGCGUGGAGGUUUGUGACGAAGCCUUGGGCGUGAGCCUGGGUCGAACAGCCUCUAGUGCAGAUCUUGGUGGAAGUAGCAAAUAUUCAAAUGAGAACUUUGAAGACUGAAGUGGGGAAAGGUUCCAUGGGAACAGCAGUUGGCCAUGGGUUAGUCGAUCCUAAGAGAUAGGGAAGCUCCGUAUGAAAGUUGCACGAUUUUCGUGCCUCCUAUCGAAAGGGAUCCGGUUAAUAUUCCGGAACCAGAAGGUGGAAUCAACACGGCACGUAAAUGAAGUUGGAGACGUCGGCAGGAGCCCUGGGAAGAGUUCUCUUUCUUUUAACAAACCACGAACUUACCCUGAAAUCGGUUAUCCGGAGCUAGGGUAUGGUGUUUGGAAGAGUUCAGCGCCUCAUGCUGGAUCCGGUGCGCUCUUGACGACCCUUGAAAUCCAACGGAAGAAUGGGGGUUUCGGCUCCUCUUGUUUUCACAUCUGGUCGUACUCAUAACCGCAGCAGGUCUCCAAGGUGAACAGCCUCUAGUUGAUAGAACAAUGUAGAUAAGGGAGUCGGCAAAAUGGAUCCGUAACUUCGGGAUAAGGAUUGGCUCUAAGGGUUGGUACGUUGAACAGUUGCUGGUCCGGAUUCGGCGGACUGGAUGUUUUGCCUUUCGGGGUAGAGGGGUAGAGACGGCUGGCUGGAGGCUGGACCUUGGCUUUUCCUGGUAAGGCUGCUCUCUUCCACGGGGGUAUGCCCUUACUGGCGUACAAUUAACAACCAACUUAGAACUGGUACGGACAAGGGGAAUCUGACUGUCUAAUUAAAACAUAGCAUUGCGAUGGCCAGGUGUUGACGCAAUGUGAUUUCUUGUCUGCCCAGUGCUGUCAAAGUGAAGAAUUCAACCAGCGCGGGUAAACGGCGGGAGUAACUAUGCUCUCUUAAGGUAGCCAAAUGCCUCGUCAUCUAACUAGUGACGCGCAUGAAUGGAUUAACGAGAUUCCCACUGUCCCUAUCUACUAUCUAGCGAACCACAGCCAGGGGAACGGGCCUGGAAAAUCAGCGGGGAAGAAGACCCUGUUGAGCUUGACUCUAGUUUACAUUGUGAAGAGACAUAGAGGGUGUAGGAUAAGUGGGAGUGUAGGGACCUCUCUGCACGCCGGUGAAAUACCACUACCUUUAUCGUUUCUUUACUUAAUCAAUGAAGCGGAAUUGGGAUUAGUUCCCACAUUCUAGCCUUAAGGUUCCUUGCGAACUGAUCCGCGUUGAUGACAUUGUCAGGUGGGGAUUUGGCUGGGGCGGCACAUCUAGUUAAAAGUGUCCUAAGGGGGGCGUCAUCGAGGCUCAUCGAGAACAGAAAAAGGGUAAAGCCCCUUGAUUUUGAUUUUCAGUGUGAAUACAACCAUGAAAGUGUGGCCUAUCGAUCCUUGUUGCCUCGAAAUUUGAGGACAGAGGUGCCAGAAAGUUACCACAGGGAUAACUGGCUUGUGGCAGCCAAGCGUUCAUAGCGACGUUGCUUUUGAUUCUUCGAUGUCGGCUCUUCCUAUCAUACCGAAGCAGAAUUCGGUAAGCGUUGGAUUGUCACCCAUAAUAGGGAACGUGAGCUGGGUUUAGACCGUCGUGAGACAGGUUAGUUUACCUACUGAUGAAGUGUCGUCGCAAUGGUAAUCAACUUAGUACGAGAGGAACCGUUGAUUCAGAUCAUUGGUAUUGCGGCUGCCUGACAAGGCAAUGCCGCGGAGCUAUCAUCUGCUGGAUAAGGCUGAACGCCUCUAAGCCCGAAUCCAUGCCAGAAAGCGACGAUUUGUUGGUCCGCAUAAUUAUGUGUAUACAAAUAGAGUUUUUACUGCAUCAUAGAAGAUGGCGUCGGUUGAUAAGACGGAAGUGUCUUGUUGACUUGUCCAUGAAAUUCCAUUGAAACUUGUGCGGAGUCGAAUCCAUUGCAUACGACUUUAAUGUGGAACGGGUAUUGUAAGCAGUAGAGUAGCCUUGUUGUACGAUCUGCUGAGAUUAAGCCUUUGUUCCCAAGAUUUGUUCCAUAAG